This 492-nucleotide ribosomal RNA is filed under the name uncultured bacterium. RNAcentral describes it as "partial 16S ribosomal RNA". It matches the Rfam family "Bacterial small subunit ribosomal RNA", at positions 29 to 507 of the family's 1533-position model. The record is from RNAcentral.
AGUGAACGCUGGCGGUAGGCCUAACACAUGCAAGUCGAACGGCAGCACAGUAAGAGCUUGCUCUUACGGGUGGCGAGUGGCGGACGGGUGAGGAAUACAUCGGAAUCUACUUUUUCGUGGGGGAUAACGUAGGGAAACUUACGCUAAUACCGCAUACGACCUACGGGUGAAAGCAGGGGAUCUUCGGACCUUGCGCGAUUGAAUGAGCCGAUGUCGGAUUAGCUAGUUGGCGGGGUAAAGGCCCACCAAGGCGACGAUCCGUAGCUGGUCUGAGAGGAUGAUCAGCCGGACUGGAACUGAGACACGGUUCAGACGCCUACGGGAGGCAGCAGUGGGGAAUAUUGGACAAUGGGCGCAAGCCUGAUCCAGCCAUACCGCGUGGGUGAAGAAGGCCUUCGGGUUGUAAAGCCCUUUUGUUGGGAAAGAAAAGCAGCAGGUUAAUACCCCGCUGUUCUGACGGUACCCAAAGAAUAAGCACCGGCUAACUUCGUG